RNAcentral lists this ribosomal RNA (1346 nucleotides) under uncultured bacterium. Its description in RNAcentral is "partial 16S ribosomal RNA". It matches the Rfam family "Bacterial small subunit ribosomal RNA", at positions 28 to 1381 of the family's 1533-position model. The record is from RNAcentral.
GACGAACGCUGGCGGCGUGCUUAACACAUGCAAGUCGAACGGAAAGGCCCUGCUUUUGUGGGGUGCUCGAGUGGCGAACGGGUGAGUAACACGUGAGUAACCUGCCCUUGACUUUGGGAUAACUUCAGGAAACUGGGGCUAAUACCGGAUAGGAGCUCCUGCUGCAUGGUGGGGGUUGGAAAGUUUCGGCGGUUGGGGAUGGACUCGCGGCUUAUCAGCUUGUUGGUGGGGUAGUGGCUUACCAAGGCUUUGACGGGUAGCCGGCCUGAGAGGGUGACCGGCCACAUUGGGACUGAGAUACGGCCCAGACUCCUACGGGAGGCAGCAGUGGGGAAUAUUGCACAAUGGGCGGAAGCCUGAUGCAGCAACGCCGCGUGCGGGAUGACGGCCUUCGGGUUGUAAACCGCUUUCGCCUGUGACGAAGCGUGAGUGACGGUAAUGGGUAAAGAAGCACCGGCUAACUACGUGCCAGCAGCCGCGGUGAUACGUAGGGUGCGAGCGUUGUCCGGAUUUAUUGGGCGUAAAGGGCUCGUAGGUGGUUGAUCGCGUCGGAAGUGUAAUCUUGGGGCUUAACCCUGAGCGUGCUUUCGAUACGGGUUGACUUGAGGAAGGUAGGGGAGAAUGGAAUUCCUGGUGGAGCGGUGGAAUGCGCAGAUAUCAGGAGGAACACCAGUGGCGAAGGCGGUUCUCUGGGCCUUUCCUGACGCUGAGGAGCGAAAGCGUGGGGAGCGAACAGGCUUAGAUACCCUGGUAGUCCACGCUGUAAACGGUGGGUACUAGGUGUGGGGUCCAUUCCACGGGUUCCGUGCCGUAGCUAACGCUUUAAGUACCCCGCCUGGGGAGUACGGCCGCAAGGCUAAAACUCAAAGGAAUUGACGGGGCCCCGCACAAGCGGCGGAGCAUGCGGAUUAAUUCGAUGCAACGCGUAGAACCUUACCUGGGUUUGACAUGGAUCGGGAGUGCUCAGAGAUGGGUGUGCCUCUUUUGGGGUCGGUUCACAGGUGGUGCAUGCCUGUCGUCAGCUCGUGUCGUGAGAUGUUGGGUUAAGUCCCGCAACGAGCGCAACCCUUGUUCACUGUUGCCAGCACGUUAUGGUGGGGACUCAGUGGAGACCGCCGGGGUCAACUCGGAGGAAGGUGGGGAUGACGUCAAGUCAUCAUGCCCCUUAUGUCCAGGGCUUCACGCAUGCUACAAUGGCUGGUACAGAGAGUGGCGAGCCUGUGAGGGUGAGCGAAUCUCGGAAAGCCGGUCUCGGUUCGGAUUGGGGUCUGCAGCUCGACCUCAUGAAGUCGGAGUCGCUAGUAAUCGCAGAUCAGCAACGCUGCGGUGAAUACGUUCCCGGGGCU